This 252-nucleotide ribosomal RNA is filed under the name uncultured bacterium. RNAcentral describes it as "partial 16S ribosomal RNA". It matches the Rfam family "Bacterial small subunit ribosomal RNA", at positions 524 to 776 of the family's 1533-position model. The record is from RNAcentral.
UACGUAGGGUGCAAGCGUUGUCCGGAAUUAUUGGGCGUAAAGAGCUCGUAGGCGGUCUGUCGCGUCGGCUGUGAAACCCGGAGCUCAACUCCGGGCCUGCAGUCGAUACGGGCAGACUGGAGUUCGGCAGGGGAGACUGGAAUUCCUGGUGUAGCGGUGAAAUGCGCAGAUAUCAGGAGGAACACCGGUGGCGAAGGCGGGUCUCUGGGCCGAUACUGACGCUGAGGAGCGAAAGCGUGGGGAGCGAACAGG